GAUGAACGCUAGCGACAGGCCUAACACAUGCAAGUCGAGGGGCAGCACGAGGUAGCAAUACUGAGGUGGCGACCGGCGCACGGGUGAGUAACACGUAUGCAACCUACCUGUAAGAGGGGAAUAACCCGGAGAAGUUCGGACUAAUACCGCAUAACACUACCAUACCGCAUGGUAUAGCAGUUAAACAUUCAUGGUUUACAGAUGGGCAUGCGCAUGAUUAGAUAGUUGGUGAGGUAACGGCUCACCAAGUCAACGAUCAUUAGGGGUUCUGAGAGGAAGGUCCCCCACACUGGUACUGAGACACGGACCAGACUCCUACGGGAGGCAGCAGUGAGGAAUAUUGGUCAAUGGGCGAGAGCCUGAACCAGCCAAGUCGCGUGAAGGAAGAAGGUUCUAUGGAUUGUAAACUUCUUUUGUAAGGGAAUAAAAAGAGUUACGUGUAACUUAUUGUAUGUACUUUACGAAUAAGGAUCGGCUAACUCCGUGCCAGCCGCCGCAGUAA
RNAcentral lists this ribosomal RNA (502 nucleotides) under uncultured bacterium. Its description in RNAcentral is "partial 16S ribosomal RNA". It matches the Rfam family "Bacterial small subunit ribosomal RNA", at positions 28 to 523 of the family's 1533-position model. The record is from RNAcentral.